RNAcentral lists this ribosomal RNA (468 nucleotides) under uncultured bacterium. RNAcentral's name for it is "partial 16S ribosomal RNA". It matches the Rfam family "Bacterial small subunit ribosomal RNA", at positions 28 to 507 of the family's 1533-position model. The record is from RNAcentral.
GACGAACGCUGGCGGCGUGCUUAACACAUGCAAGUCGAACGGAAAGGCCCUGCUUGUGUGGGGUGCUCGAGUGGCGAACGGGUGAGUAACACGUGAGUAACCUGCCCUUGACUUUGGGAUAACUUCAGGAAACUGGGGCUAAUACCGGAUAGGAGCUCCUGCUGCAUGGUGGGGGUUGGAAAGUUUCGGCGGGUGGGGAUGGACGCGCGGCUUAUCAGCUUGUUGGUGGGGUAGUGGCUUACCAAGGCUUUGACGGGUAGCCGGCCUGAGAGGGUGACCGGCCACAUUGGGACUGAGAUACGGCCCAGACUCCUACGGGAGGCAGCAGUGGGGAAUAUUGCACAAUGGGCGGAAGCCUGAUGAGGCAACGCCGCGUGCGGGAUGACGGCCUUCGGGUUGUAAACCGCUUUCGCCUGUGACGAAGCGUGAGUGACGGUAAUGGGUAAAGAAGCACCGGCUAACUACGUG